RNAcentral lists this ribosomal RNA (301 nucleotides) under uncultured bacterium. Its description in RNAcentral is "partial 16S ribosomal RNA". It matches the Rfam family "Bacterial small subunit ribosomal RNA", at positions 509 to 807 of the family's 1533-position model. The record is from RNAcentral.
CAGCCGCCGCGGGAAAACGUAGGUGGCAAGCGUUGUCCGGAAUUAUUGGGCGUAAAGGGCUCGCAGGCGGUUUCUUAAGUCUGAUGUGAAAGCCCCCGGCUCAACCGGGGAGGGUCAUUGGAAACUGGGAAACUUGAGUGCAGAAGAGGAGAGUGGAAUUCCACGUGUAGCGGUGAAAUGCGUUGAGACCGGAAAGAACACCAACGGCGAAAGCACUCUGCUGGGCCGACACUGACACUGAGAGACGAAAGCUAGGGGAGCAAAUGGGAUUAGAUACCCCUGUAGUCCCUGUCUCUUAUAC